Molecule: ribosomal RNA, 405 nt
Filed under: uncultured bacterium
Lineage: Bacteria
Description: bacterial SSU rRNA
Rfam family: Bacterial small subunit ribosomal RNA
Source: RNAcentral
GUGGGGAAUAUUGGACAAUGGGGGCAACCCUGAUCCAGCGAUGCCGCGUGGGUGAUGAAGGCUUUCGGGUUGUAAAGCCCUUUCAGCGGGGAAGAUGAUGACGGUACCCGCAGAAGAAGCCCCGGCUAACUCCGUGCCAGCAGCCGCGGUAAUACGGAGGGGGCAAGCGUUGUUCGGAAUUACUGGGCGUAAAGCGCGCGUAGGCGGUCUGUCUAGUCAGACGUGAAAGCCCCAGGCUCAACCUGGGAAAUGCGUAUGAAACUGGCGGACUAGAGACCGGGAGAGGGGAGUGGAAUUCCCAGUGUAGAGGUGAAAUUCGUAGAUAUUGGGAAGAACACCGGUGGCGAAGGCGACUCCCUGGACCGGCACUGACGCUGAGGUGCGAAAGCGUGGGGAGCAAACAGG